This 819-nucleotide ribosomal RNA is filed under the name uncultured bacterium. Its description in RNAcentral is "bacterial SSU rRNA". It matches the Rfam family "Bacterial small subunit ribosomal RNA", at positions 56 to 875 of the family's 1533-position model. The record is from RNAcentral.
UGCAAGUCGAACGGUAAAUCUAGUGCUUGCACUAGAUACGAGUGGCGCACGGUUGCGUAACGCGUAUGCAACCUACCCUUUACUGGGGGAUAGCCCGGAGAAAUUCGGAUUAAUACCCCAUGGUAUCUUAGGAUCUCAUGGUUUUAAGAUUAAAGAUUUAUUGGUAAAGGAUGGGCAUGCGUGACAUUAGCUAGUUGGUGAGGUAACGGCUCACCAAGGCGAUGAUGUCUAGGGGUUCUGAGAGGAUGAUCCCCCACACUGGUACUGAGAUACGGACCAGACUCCUACGGGAGGCAGCAGUAGGGAAUAUUGGUCAAUGGACGGAAGUCUGAACCAGCCAUGCCGCGUGCAGGAAGACGGCCUUCUGGGUUGUAAACUGCUUUUAUCAGGGAACAAAUAGCCCAUGCGUGGGAAGUUGAGUGUACCUGAAGAAUAAGCACCGGCUAACUCCGUGCCAGCAGCCGCGGUAAUACGGAGGGUGCAAGCGUUGUCCGGAUUUAUUGGGUUUAAAGGGUGCGUAGGCGGUCGAUUAAGUCAGUGGUGAAAUCCUCCAGCUCAACUGGAGAACUGCCAUUGAAACUGGUUGACUUGAGUACAGACGAGGUAGGCGGAAUUUAUGGUGUAGCGGUGAAAUGCAUAGAUACCAUAAAGAACACCGAUAGCGAAGGCAGCUUACUAGACUGUAACUGACGCUGAGGCACGAAAGCGUGGGGAGCGAACAGGAUUAGAUACCCUGGUAGUCCACGCUGUAAACGAUGAUGACUCGAUGUGUGCGAUAUACAGUACGCGUCUUAGCGAAAGCGUUAAGUCAUCCACCUG